UACGGAGGAUCCAAGCGUUAUCCGGAUUCACUGGGUUUAAAGGGUGCGUAGGUGGAAUGACAAGUCAGUGGUGAAAACCUGCAGCUUAACUGUAGAACUGCCAUUGAUACUGUUAUUCUUGAGUACAUUUGAUGCGAGUGGAAUGUGUCGUGUAGCGGUGAAAUGCUUAGAUAUGACACAGAACACCAAUUGCGAAGGCAGCUCACAAAACUGUAACUGACACUGAGGCACGAAAGCGUGGGG
This 243-nucleotide ribosomal RNA is filed under the name uncultured bacterium. RNAcentral describes it as "partial 16S ribosomal RNA". It matches the Rfam family "Bacterial small subunit ribosomal RNA", at positions 524 to 766 of the family's 1533-position model. The record is from RNAcentral.